CUAGUACUCCCUCCGUUCGGAAAAGCUUGUCUCAAACUUGUCUCUCAAAUGGAUGUAUCUGGCACUAAUUUGAUACUGGAUACAUCCAUUUGAGGGACAAGUUUUUUCAACGGAGGGAGUAGUGG
Molecule: non-coding RNA, 125 nt
Organism: Triticum urartu
Lineage: Eukaryota; Viridiplantae; Streptophyta; Magnoliopsida; Poales; Poaceae
Source: Rfam